This 238-nucleotide ribosomal RNA is filed under the name uncultured bacterium. RNAcentral describes it as "partial 16S ribosomal RNA". It matches the Rfam family "Bacterial small subunit ribosomal RNA", at positions 679 to 915 of the family's 1533-position model. The record is from RNAcentral.
CGGUGAAAUGCGCAGAUAUCGGGAGGAACACCGGUGGCGAAGGCGGUUCUCUGGGCCUGUCCUGACGCUGAGGAGCGAAAGCGUGGGGAGCGAACAGGAUUAGAUACCCUGGUAGUCCACGCCGUAAACGUUGGGCGCUAGGUGUGGGGUCCUUCCACGGAUUCCGUGCCGCAGCUAACGCAUUAAGCGCCCCGCCUGGGGAGUACGGCCGCAAGGCUAAAACUCAAAGGAAUUGACG